This 483-nucleotide ribosomal RNA is filed under the name uncultured bacterium. RNAcentral describes it as "partial 16S ribosomal RNA". It matches the Rfam family "Bacterial small subunit ribosomal RNA", at positions 29 to 507 of the family's 1533-position model. The record is from RNAcentral.
AUUGAACGCUGGCGGCAGGCCUAACACAUGCAAGUCGAGCGGAUGAAGGGAGCUUGCUCCUGGAUUCAGCGGCGGACGGGUGAGUAAUGCCUGGGAAUCUGCCUGGUAGUGGGGGAUAACGUCCGGAAACGGGCGCUAAUACCGCAUACGUCCUGAGGGAGAAAGUGGGGGAUCUUCGGACCUCACGCUAUCAGAUGAGCCUAGGUCGGAUUAGCUAGUUGGUGGGGUAAAGGCCUACCAAGGCGACGAUCCGUAACUGGUCUGAGAGGAUGAUCAGUCACACGGGACUGUAAACAGGGUCCGACCCCCUAGGGGGGGAGGAGGGGGGGAAUUUGGGCAAAGGGGGGAAAGCCGAACCCGGCAAGGCCCGUGGGGGGAAAAAGGUUUUGGGUUUGAAAACGCUUUUAAGUGGGGAGAAAGGGAAGUAGGUUAAACCCUGGCUUUUUGGCGGUACCCAAAGAAAAAACCCCGGGUAAAUUUGGG